Molecule: ribosomal RNA, 890 nt
Filed under: uncultured bacterium
Lineage: Bacteria
Description: bacterial SSU rRNA
Rfam family: Bacterial small subunit ribosomal RNA
Source: RNAcentral
AACACAUGCAAGUCGAGGGGUAACAGAAGAAGCUUGCUUCUUGCUGACGACCGGCGCACGGGUGCGUAACGCGUAUGCAAUCUACCUCUAACUGGAAGAUAGCCCCGAGAAAUCGGGAUUAAUACUCCAUAAUAUGAGUCUUUCGCAUGUUAGAAUCAUUAAAGCUCAGGCGGUUAGAGAUGAGCAUGCGUCCCAUUAGUUUGUUGGUGAGGUAACGGCUCACCAAGACUACGAUGGGUAGGGGGCCUGAGAGGGUGAUCCCCCACACUGGUACUGAGACACGGACCAGACUCCUACGGGAGGCAGCAGUGAGGAAUAUUGGUCAAUGGACGCAAGUCUGAACCAGCCAUGCCGCGUGAAGGAUGAAGGCGCUACGCGUCGUAAACUUCUUUUAUUUGGGAAGAAACCCCCUUACGUGUAAGGGGCUGACGGUACCAAACGAAUAAGGACCGGCUAACUCCGUGCCAGCAGCCGCGGUAAUACGGAGGGUCCAAGCGUUAUCCGGAAUCAUUGGGUUUAAAGGGUGCGUAGGCGGGAAAUUAAGUCAGUGGUGAAAGCCCACAGCUCAACUGUGGAACUGCCAUUGAUACUGAUUUUCUUGAAUUUAGUCGAAGUGGGCGGAAUGUGUCAUGUAGCGGUGAAAUGCAUAGAUAUGACACAGAACACCGAUUGCGAAGGCAGCUCACUAGCCUAAUAUUGACGCUGAGGCACGAAAGCGUGGGUAGCGAACAGGAUUAGAUACCCUGGUAGUCCACGCCGUAAACGAUGAUCACUCGACAUUGGCGAUAAACUGUCAGUGUCCAAGCGAAAGUAUUAAGUGAUCCACCUGGGGAGUACGAUCGCAAGGUUGAAACUCAAAGGAAUUGACGGGGGCCCGCACAAGCGGUGGA